UCUGGGUUGCAUGGCCGCAUGCCGUGGUAAGUCUGUUGCAUCUCCAUAUGGUGUGGAGACUGCCUGGCGUCGUGGUUGUGUGAUCUUUCUGCCGUAUCUGUUUAUUCAGGUGCUGGUUGAUUUUCAGCUGGCAUGCUCUUGGAUGCCUUUAACCGGGUGUUCGGAGCAGACGGCACGUUUACUUUGAACAAAUUUGAGUGCUCAAAGCAGGCCGUAGUGCCUGAAAAGUCUUGCAUGGAAUAAUGGAAUAGGACUUCGGUUCUAUUUUGUUGGUUUUCGGAUCCGAAGUAAU
This 292-nucleotide ribosomal RNA is filed under the name Prosogonotrema bilabiatum. RNAcentral's name for it is "partial small subunit ribosomal RNA". The stretch from base 70 to 292 matches the Rfam family "Eukaryotic small subunit ribosomal RNA", at positions 628 to 866 of the family's 1831-position model. The record is from RNAcentral. Lineage: Eukaryota; Metazoa; Platyhelminthes; Trematoda; Azygiida; Sclerodistomidae.